UGGGGGAUAUUGCACAAUGGGCGAAAGCCUGAUGCAGCGACGCCGCGUGGGGGAUGAAGGCCUUCGGGUUGUAAACUUCUUUUGCUCUGAACAAGGCGCACCAUGGGGUGUGUUGAGUGUAGGGGUUGAUUAGCGCCGGCUAACUACGUGCCAGCAGCCGCGGUAAUACGUAGGGCGCGAGCGUUGUCCGGAAUUAUUGGGCGUAAAGGGCUUGUAGGUGGCUGGUUGCGUCUGUCGUGAAAGCUCAUGGCUUAACUGUGGGUUUGCGGUGGGUACGGGCUGGCUUGAGUGCAGUAGGGGAGGCUGGAAUUCCUGGUGUAGCGGUGGAAUGCGCAGAUAUCAGGAGGAAUACCGGUGGCGAAGGCGGGUCUCUGGGCUGUUACUGACACUGAGGAGCGAAAGCAUUGGGAGCGAACAGG
RNAcentral lists this ribosomal RNA (419 nucleotides) under bacterium. RNAcentral's name for it is "partial 16S ribosomal RNA". It matches the Rfam family "Bacterial small subunit ribosomal RNA", at positions 355 to 776 of the family's 1533-position model. The record is from RNAcentral.